This 497-nucleotide ribosomal RNA is filed under the name uncultured bacterium. Its description in RNAcentral is "partial 16S ribosomal RNA". It matches the Rfam family "Bacterial small subunit ribosomal RNA", at positions 28 to 507 of the family's 1533-position model. The record is from RNAcentral.
GAUGAACGCUGGCGGCGUGCCUAAUACAUGCAAGUCGAGCGAACAGACGAGGAGCUUGCUCCUCUGACGUUAGCGGCGGACGGGUGAGUAACACGUGGAUAACCUACCUAUAAGACUGGGAUAACUUCGGGAAACCGGAGCUAAUACCGGAUAAUAUAUUGAACCGCAUGGUUCAAUAUUGAAAGACGGUUUUGCUUUCACUUAUAGAUGGAUCCGCGCCGCAUUAGCUAGUUGGUAAGGUAACGGCUUACCAAGGCAACGAUGCGUAGCCGACCUGAGAGGGUGAUCGGCCACACUGGAACUGAGACACGGUCCAGACUCCUACGGGAGGCAGCAGUAGGGAAUCUUCCGCAAUGGGCGAAAGCCUGACGGAGCAACGCCGCGUGAGUGAUGAAGGUCUUCGGAUCGUAAAACUCUGUUAUUAGGGAAGAACAAAUGUGUAAGUAACUAUGCACGUCUUGACGGUACCUAAUCAGAAAGCCACGGCUAACUACGUG